UAAUACAGAGGGUGCGAGCGUUAAUCGGAAUUACUGGGCGUAAAGCGCGCGUAGGCGGCUUCGCAAGUCGGAUGUGAAAUCCCCGGGCUCAACCUGGGAACUGCAUUCGAGACUGCGUUGCUAGAGUAUGGGAGAGGGAAGUGGAAUUUCCGGUGUAGCGGUGAAAUGCGUAGAUAUCGGAAGGAACAUCAGUGGCGAAAGCGACUUCCUGGACCAAUACUGACGCUCAUGUGCGAAAGCGUGGGGAGCAAACAGGAUUAGAUACCCUGGUAGUCCACGCCAUAAACGAUGAGAACUGGAUGUCGGGAGGGUCUGCCUCUCGGUGUCGUAGCUAACGCGUUAAGUUCUCCGCCUGGGGAGUACGGCCGCAAGGUUGAAACUCAAAUGAAUUGACGG
This 396-nucleotide ribosomal RNA is filed under the name uncultured bacterium. RNAcentral's name for it is "bacterial SSU rRNA". It matches the Rfam family "Bacterial small subunit ribosomal RNA", at positions 521 to 916 of the family's 1533-position model. The record is from RNAcentral.